Molecule: ribosomal RNA, 471 nt
Filed under: uncultured Glomus
Lineage: Eukaryota; Fungi; Glomeromycota; Glomeromycetes; Glomerales; Glomeraceae
Description: SSU rRNA
Rfam family: Eukaryotic small subunit ribosomal RNA
Source: RNAcentral
AGCAGCCGCGGUAAUUCCAGCUCCAAUAGCGUAUAUUAAAGUUGUUGCAGUUAAAAAGCUCGUAGUUGAAUUUCGAGACCGGUUUACUGGUCGUGCUUUUGUACGUACUGGUAUUAUUGGUUUCUCCUUUCUGACGAACUAUAAUGCCAUUAAUUUGGUGUUAUAGGGAAUCAGGACUGUUACUUUGAAAAAAUUAGAGUGUUUAAAGCAGGCUCACGCUUGAAUACAUUAGCAUGGAAUAACGGAAUAGGACGUUUGAUUCUAUUUUGUUGGUUUCUAGGAUCGACGUAAUGAUUAAUAGGGAUAGUUGGGGGCAUUAGUAUUCAAUUGUCAGAGGUGAAAUUCUUGGAUUUAUUGAAGACUAACUACUGCGAAAGCAUUUGCCAAGGAUGUUUUCAUUAAUCAAGAACGAAAGUUAGGGGAUCGAAGACGAUCAGAUACCGUCGUAGUCUUAACCAUAAACUAUGCCGA